GAUGAACGCUGGCGGCGUGCCUAAUACAUGCAAGUCGAGCGAACGGACGAGAAGCUUGCUUUUCUGAUGUUAGCGGCGGACGGGUGAGUAACACGUGGAUAACCUACCUAUAAGACUGGGAUAACUUCGGGAAACCGGAGCUAAUACCGGAUAAUAUUUUGAACCGCAUGGUUCAAAAGUGAAAGACGGUCUUGCUGUCACUUAUAGAUGGAUCCGCGCUGCAUUAGCUAGUUGGUAAGGUAACGGCUUACCAAGGCAACGAUGCAUAGCCGACCUGAGAGGGUGAUCGGCCACACUGGAACUGAGACACGGUCCAGACUCCUACGGGAGGCAGCAGUAGGGAAUCUUCCGCAAUGGGCGAAAGCCUGACGGAGCAACGCCGCGUGAGUGAUGAAGGUCUUCGGAUCGUAAAACUCUGUUAUUAGGGAAGAACCUAUGUGUAAGUAACUGUGCACAUCUUGACGGUACCUAAUCAGAAAGCCACGGCUAACUACGUG
RNAcentral lists this ribosomal RNA (497 nucleotides) under uncultured bacterium. RNAcentral's name for it is "partial 16S ribosomal RNA". It matches the Rfam family "Bacterial small subunit ribosomal RNA", at positions 28 to 507 of the family's 1533-position model. The record is from RNAcentral.